UUGGAGUUUACUCCUUUAGAAUCGAUUUACAUAUAUAGGCCCGGGGUAUGAAAAUUAUGGGGACCAAAAUCGUACUAGCAUGUCACACGAAAUGCGUUAUGCGCCUGAUUGCGCAUGUCACACGAAAUGCGUUAUCGCAGGUGACGCCGGGCUGCUGCGCCGGCAGUCCGCCACAAAGCCUCGUACUGAUCGCGCGUUUCUCUCAUUAUUGUAUUUUCAUAUAUUUGUUAGUCGUUUGUUUUGUGUCUCGUUAAUUUGUUAAUAAUCUGUAGUGUAUCGUGUUGUCGUAAUAUAGAACUAUUUCUCGUA
This is a long non-coding RNA of Bombyx mori (domestic silkworm), 309 nucleotides long. RefSeq lists it as uncharacterized. The transcript is spliced from 2 exons. NCBI's taxonomy places the organism in Eukaryota, Metazoa, Arthropoda, Insecta, Lepidoptera, Bombycidae. The record is from RefSeq and is a predicted model, not a curated record.